AUGACCGGAAGCAAUGACUUGGUGGUGGACGUGCACAAGAUUCCAUCUAUGCCCACCAAUGUCGAGUGGGGUGACGCCUCAUCUUCUAAGAUAUUGGGACUUGGCAAGGUGGCCAUCUCUCAUGAUCUCACGAUCGAGAAGGUCAUGCUUGUUGAGUCCCUUGCAUACAAUUUACUUUCCGUUCGUCAACUUGCAAUCAUGGGCUUUGCCACUUUCUUUGAUAUCGAUACCGUGGACCUCUUGUGGAGCAAGACUCUUAAAGUAUCCUUUGUUGGGCAUGUCGAGAACGGUCUAUAUGUGAUUAACUUUUCGGAGCGACCCACUAAGACUGCGACAUGCCUAAUGGCUAAAGUUGAUGUGGGAUGGCUUUGGCAUCGCCGUCUAGCCCAUGUCAAUAUGAGAUCUUUGCAAAGUCUUCUCAAGGGGGACCAUGUCCGUGGACUAACGAAUGUUAGUUUUGCUAAAGAUCGUGCUUGCAGUGCUUGUAUCGAAGGAAAGCUACAUGAGAAGGCUCACCCUCCCACGACUAUCAUUUACUCAAAGAGGCCUUUGGAGCUCCUUCAAUUGGAUCUCUUUGGGCCUCCAUCCUUCGAUAGUCUUGGGGGUAGGAAGUAUUGCUUGGUGAUUGUGGAUGACUACUCAAGAUACACUUGGGUGUAUUUCUUCAAGAGGAAGAGCGAGACCCAACAAACCGUCAUUGACUUUGCAAAUGAAGCACAACGUCAACACAAUGCAAAGAUCUUGACAAUAAGAAGUGACAACGGCACUGAGUUCAAGAACUACACCUUGGAUGAGUUUCUUAGUGAUGAGGGGAUCAUGCAUCAAUAUUCGGCACCUUACACCCCUCAACAAAACGGUGUUGUGGAGAGGAAGAAUCGGACGUUGAUGGAUGCGGCAAGGAUCAUGAUGGCGGAGUUCAAGUGUCCGUACAACUUUUGGGCCGAAGCCAUCAACACCGCGUGUCAUGCAUCCAAUCGGCUCUACCUCCGCAAGGGCUUGAACAAGACUCCAUAUGAGAUACUCACCGGUAACAAGCCCAACCUCAAGUACUUUUGGGUGUUCGUGUGUAAGUGUUUCAUUCUCAAGAAAGGUGUUCGGUUGUUAAAUUUGAGGCUAGAACUUAUGAGGGCAUAUUUGUUG
This 1140-nucleotide ribosomal RNA is filed under the name Triticum aestivum (bread wheat). RNAcentral's name for it is "partial small subunit ribosomal RNA". The record is from RNAcentral. Lineage: Eukaryota; Viridiplantae; Streptophyta; Magnoliopsida; Poales; Poaceae.